Molecule: ribosomal RNA, 443 nt
Filed under: uncultured bacterium
Lineage: Bacteria
Description: partial 16S ribosomal RNA
Rfam family: Bacterial small subunit ribosomal RNA
Source: RNAcentral
CCUACGGGUGGCAGCAGUGAGGAAUAUUGGUCAAUGGCCGGAACGCUGAACCAGCCACGCCGCGUGAAGGUCAGUGCCCUAUGGGCGUUAAACUUCUUUUGUCAGGGACGAAGCAAGUGACGGUACCUGACGAAUCAGCCACGGCUAACUACGUGCCAGCAGCCGCGGUAAUACGGAGGGGGCAAGCGUUAUCCGGAUUUACUGGGUGUAAAGGGCGUGUAGGCGGGACUGCAAGUCAGAUGUGAAAACCACGGGCUCAACCUGUGGCCUGCAUUUGAAACUGUAGUUCUUGAGUACUGGAGAGGCAGACGGAAUUCCUGGUGUAGCGGUGAAAUGCGUAGAUAUUAGGAGGAACACCAGUGGCGAAGGCGGUCUGCUGGACAGCAACUGACGCUGAGGCGCGAAAGCGUGGGGAGCAAACAGGAUUAGAUACCCGAGUAGUC